Non-coding RNA from Pelobates cultripes (western spadefoot toad), 1452 nucleotides. Lineage: Eukaryota; Metazoa; Chordata; Amphibia; Anura; Pelobatidae. The record is from the annotation of a GenBank genome assembly.
CUGGAGAAGUCAAUGCCAAAGAGUACCUAGAGUGGCAGUUUUUCUUUAAGAACCAAUGAAGGUUCAAAAAGGGCUUGGUUAACCAAACGUUGCCUUUUACCGUAGGUGCUUAUGAAAUAUUUAUGCUGAAGGACCGCAUUCAGAUGACUGCCGCCCUGAAUGGUGCAUGUUUUCGUAAUUGUUUUUCUCAAAGUGGCUACUGUUAAAGCAGGAACCACAUUUGAUCACAUUAUAUUAAGCCAGGAGUAUUUAAAUGCCAUUCUUUAACUGCAUACAGGCUGCAACUCCCAUUAACCAUUGGGAGCCAAGUCAGCAGGUAAAUGUCAAAGGUUUGUGGGAAUUGUAGGCUGUUAACACCUGUGGCUCAAGAAAUGUAAAUAAAGGUCCAAUUACAUUAGUUUCUAACCCCCUUCUCAACAUCAGUGCUCUCUUGGGAUGUGAUUUAUAACUACUGCAGUCACGGGAUGUGGUUUUCUAUGCAUGUCCCUGUUGGUGCCCCCCAGUUCCCUGCCUGUCAUUGAAAAGUGCAGUUUGGAAAUGGGCAUCUGACCUCCCACCCCCACACUACCAUGGCCGCAUACUUUUCCUGUGGACACAUUCCAGCGUACAAGGGCCAGCUUUGUCUCAGUUCAGACACAUUGCGGGCUGAUUUUGCACAUUUAAUCAUUGCCUGGGGUACUGCGAGGGUCACCCUGGCAGUAAAAAUAUUUUUAUAUACAUAUUGUCUCCAUGUGAGAUAUACUAAGUCAUAUUUAUAAUAUAUACAUCGCACUCUCAUAAAUAUUUAUAAUAAAAAUGUAAAAAUAAAAACCUGCCAAGUAUUAUUGAUUUAUAUGGAGCCAAUAAUAUACACUUACAAAAAUCUCCCUGAAAUGAAUGCUAUAUAGAAUGUGGUGCCACUUUGUAUCCUCUCUCUGUUGCUUAUAGCAUAGCUGCAAUGAUUUGCAAGUACCAUUGCAACUAGCCACUAAAAUAUGCCACUUGAGGUACCUCUUAUUUAAUUCUAGCUGUGCGACAUUUACGUUUAUGGCAUUGAUCACAGUGUUAUCAAUGUUUGAAUUUUGGAUACUCAAACAGACAUAAAUGUUCACUGUCCCGAUAUAACCAGAUGCCAAAAGUAUGGACUAUUUGUUUGCUGAUGGAAAAAAAAAAUAUCCAGUCACACCUGAGGUUUCUUCUAAAAGGCAGUCUUUAUUUGAAACAAGGAAGUGGAGACAACGUUUCGGCUCCUCUAUGAGCCUUUAUUAACCCCUUAAGGACGGCGGGCUUUCUAUGCCGUCCUUGGGGACCCGGCUCUAAACGCCGGCGGGUGGCAUAGAACGCCCAAGCCGUCCUAUGUACUUAUCCGGUCGCAUAGCCGUCCCUAGCAAUGCCAGCAGGGGGAGUGCCUGGAAUGAAAGGGACUGCUGCCUGUUAAAAAUAAUAAACGUUUAAAAUUAAAUUACAUAUACU